Transfer RNA from Claviceps purpurea 20.1, 72 nucleotides. It matches the Rfam family "tRNA". Rfam says of the family: Transfer RNA (tRNA) molecules are approximately 80 nucleotides in length. Their secondary structure includes four short double-helical elements and three loops (D, anti-codon, and T loops). Lineage: Eukaryota; Fungi; Ascomycota; Sordariomycetes; Hypocreales; Clavicipitaceae. The record is from Rfam.
GCUCGGAUAACUCAGUGGUAGAGUGUGAGAUUGCAAAUCUCGAAGUCCUUGGUUCGAAUCCGAGUUCGAGCU